UAGGGAAUAUUGCUUAAUGGGCGCAAGCCUGAAGCAGCAACGCCGCGUGUGCGAUGAAGGCCUUCGGGUCGUAAAGCACUUUUUGGAGGGAUGAGGAAGGACAGUACCUCCAGAAUAAGCCUCGGCUAACUACGUGCCAGCAGCCGCGGUAACACGUAGGAGGCAAGCGUUAUUCGGAUUUACUGGGCGUAAAGCGCAUGUAGGCGGCUCGGAAAGUUGGAUGUGAAAGCUCCCGGCUUAACUGGGAGAGGUCGUUCAAUACUUUCGGGCUAGAGGAUGGGAGAGGGAGGUGGAAUUCCGGGUGUAGUGGUGAAAUGCGUAGAUAUCCGGAGGAACACCAGUGGCGAAAGCGACCUCCUGGCCCAAACCUGACGCUCAGAUGCGAAAGCUAGGGUAGCAAACGGGAUUAGAAACCCCAGUAG
Molecule: ribosomal RNA, 422 nt
Filed under: uncultured bacterium
Lineage: Bacteria
Description: bacterial SSU rRNA
Rfam family: Bacterial small subunit ribosomal RNA
Source: RNAcentral